RNAcentral lists this transfer RNA (69 nucleotides) under Brachyta interrogationis. RNAcentral's name for it is "tRNA-Ser". Lineage: Eukaryota; Metazoa; Arthropoda; Insecta; Coleoptera; Cerambycidae. The record is from RNAcentral.
AGUUGAUGAACUUGUAUUAAGUAUAUAUUUUGAAAAUAUAAUAAAGAAUUUAUAAUAUUCUAUUAACUU